RNAcentral lists this signal recognition particle RNA (80 nucleotides) under bovine gut metagenome. Its description in RNAcentral is "Bacterial small signal recognition particle RNA". It matches the Rfam family "Bacterial small signal recognition particle RNA", at positions 9 to 86 of the family's 97-position model. From Rfam's summary of the family: The signal recognition particle (SRP) is a universally conserved ribonucleoprotein involved in the co-translational targeting of proteins to membranes. Archaeal SRP consists of a 7S RNA and homologues of the eukaryotic SRP19 and SRP54 proteins. The record is from RNAcentral.
CCAUCGCGAUGAUUAGCCGCGAACCAGGUCAGGGUAGGAAUACAGCAGCCUUAAGAGGACCUAGUCAUGUGCGGUGGUUU